Vigna radiata var. radiata (mung bean) is the source of this 769-nucleotide long non-coding RNA. RefSeq lists it as uncharacterized. The record is from RefSeq and is a predicted model, not a curated record. NCBI's taxonomy places the organism in Eukaryota, Viridiplantae, Streptophyta, Magnoliopsida, Fabales, Fabaceae. The transcript is spliced from 2 exons.
AUGAUGUUUGUUUUAAAAUGGCAUAAACUAUAAACAACGUUUUUAUAUCAAGACUGUUGGCAUGAUCUAUAUACAGUGAUGAUUAUUUUAAAGCUGCAUGAUAGCAUAAUAUUCUAUGAACAGUGAUGGUUACUGCAUGAUAAUAAUCGAUGAACAAUAAUGUUUAUUUGAAAAAUGUAUGAUAUAAGAAUGGCAAUAAUGUACUAGUAAUGAUGUUUAUUUGAAAACUGUGUCAUUGGGGUGAGUCACUUUCCAAAAUCAGGGGUGAGAUAGUAUUAAUCUGGCUGAAAUGCAUGAAAAUUGCAAUACAUGUGUCCUUACAUUACCAAUGAAGUUGCUCUAAAGCAGAGAACAGACUUUAUUGGGUGUGGUCUGCACCACACACUCAUCCAUCACCUAGCAUCAUAGAUUUUCAAUAAUUUAAGAGCACGUUCCUGGAAAUCUGUGAUAUGAAUCUCAACCACACACAGCAUCUACCCUAUCAGUUCUUAUGUUGAACUAAGCAAUCAACCACACACGUCAUGCUACCUUAUCAUCUUUAUUAACCACCAUUUCCACACCCACUGAACUCACUCACUGGAACCCUAGUUGUAAGUAAGAGAAAGGCUUCUUCCACUCAGCACCAACUUCAUACAUCUGAUUCUUUGUAUAGAACUCCACAGAAUAUGGAGACUGUUCUUUCCAACCACUCCCCACCUUUGGAAUUCAAGGGUUUGAGCAAUGAGGAGGAAGAGUCACUUCUAGGGCAAGUUGAAAUAUGGAGGUACAU